AGCAGCCGCGGUAAUUCCAGCUCCAAUAGCGUAUAUUAAAGUUGUUGCAGUUAAAAAGCUCGUAGUUGAAUUUCGGGGUCAGUAGGUUGGUCAUGCCACUGGUAUGUACUGGUCUCACUGAUUCCUCCUUCCUGAUGAACCGUAAUGCCAUUAAUUUGGUGUUGCAGGGAACCUGGACUGUUACUUUGAAAAAAUUAGAGUGUUUAAAGCAGGCUAACGCCUGAAUACAUUAGCAUGGAAUAAUGAAAUAGGACGUUCGAUCCUAUUUUGUUGGUUUCUAGGAUUGACGUAAUGAUUAAUAGGGAUAGUUGGGGGCAUUAGUAUUCAAUUGUCAGAGGUGAAAUUCUUGGAUUUAUUGAAGACUAACUACUGCGAAAGCAUUUGCCAAGGAUGUUUUCAUUAAUCAAGAACGAAAGUUAGGGGAUCGAAGACGAUCAGAUACCGUCGUAG
RNAcentral lists this ribosomal RNA (450 nucleotides) under uncultured Glomeromycotina. Its description in RNAcentral is "SSU rRNA". It matches the Rfam family "Eukaryotic small subunit ribosomal RNA", at positions 569 to 1023 of the family's 1831-position model. The record is from RNAcentral. Lineage: Eukaryota; Fungi; Glomeromycota.